UAAAAGUCGUAACAAGGUUUCCGUAGGUGAACCUGCGGA
Molecule: ribosomal RNA, 39 nt
Filed under: Sticta limbata
Lineage: Eukaryota; Fungi; Ascomycota; Lecanoromycetes; Peltigerales; Lobariaceae
Also listed under: 3 other names
Description: partial 18S ribosomal RNA
Source: RNAcentral